This 364-nucleotide ribosomal RNA is filed under the name uncultured bacterium. RNAcentral's name for it is "bacterial SSU rRNA". It matches the Rfam family "Bacterial small subunit ribosomal RNA", at positions 29 to 425 of the family's 1533-position model. The record is from RNAcentral.
AACGAACGCUGGCGGCAGGCCUAACACAUGCAAGUCGAACGCUCCGCAAGGGGAGUGGCGCACGGGUGAGUAACACGUGGGAACCUACCUUCUGGUACGGAGCAACCAAGGGAAACUUUGGCUAAGACCGUAUACGACCUCCGGGUGAAAGAUGAUCGCCGGAAGAGGGGCCCGCGUCCGAUUAGGUAGUUGGUGAGGUAACGGCUCACCAAGCCUUCGAUCGGUAGCUGGUCUGAGAGGAUGACCAGCCACACUGGGACUGAGACACGGCCCAGACUCCUACGGGAGGCAGCAGUGGGAAUAUUGGACAAUGGGCGCAAGCCUGAUCCAGCCAUGCCGCGUGAGUGAUGAAGGCCUUCGGUUG